CUUGAUAUCCUUGAGCAAAACAACUUUGCAUGGGGCUUGAUGCUUGAUUCUGGCAAGUUUGGCCAUCUCCUGGAAAAUUUCUUCCGUUUCACCACCGGACACAUCGAUGACAAUAAGGAUACCGGAAGGAAUCCCCCCAAGGCUGACUCUCCUGAUACCAGUGUUGUUCCUCAGCUGGUUCACCUUCUCCUUGAAGCUGAAGCAUCGGUCGGCGUUGUUGUAGUCCAUGGCAAUGAUGGUUGUGCUAUUGCUCCGCACCUUCUCCAAGGUGGAGCCGAUGAACUUAGCCUGCGGAACCAGCCAGACCUUGACACCAAUGCUCUCCAUCCAUGUCUGCAUGAUCCUCCUGGUUUCAUACCCACGAACGUACAGAAUGCAAUGCACACCCUUGAAGUUGUUG
This 400-nucleotide unclassified non-coding RNA is filed under the name Zea mays. Its description in RNAcentral is "misc RNA Zm00001eb268270". The record is from RNAcentral. Lineage: Eukaryota; Viridiplantae; Streptophyta; Magnoliopsida; Poales; Poaceae.